This 491-nucleotide ribosomal RNA is filed under the name uncultured bacterium. RNAcentral describes it as "partial 16S ribosomal RNA". It matches the Rfam family "Bacterial small subunit ribosomal RNA", at positions 29 to 506 of the family's 1533-position model. The record is from RNAcentral.
AGUGAACGCUGGCGGUAGGCCCAACACAUGCAAGUCGAACGGCAGCACAGUAAGAGCUUGCUCUUACGGGUGGCGAGUGGCGGACGGGUGAGGAAUGCAUCGGAAUCUACUUUUUCGUGGGGGAUAACGUAGGGAAACUUACGCUAAUACCGCAUACGACCUACGGGUGAAAGCAGGGGAUCUUCGGACCUUGCGCGAUUGAAUGAGCCGAUGUCGGAUUAGCUAGUUGGCGGGGUAAAGGCCCACCAAGGCGACGAUCCGUAGCUGGUCUGAGAGGAUGAUCAGCCACACUGGAACUGAGACACGGUCCAGACUCCUACGGGAGGCAGCAGUGGGGAAUAUUGGACAAUGGGCGCAAGCCUGAUCCAGCCAUACCGCGUGGGUGAAGAAGGCCUUCGGGUUGUAAAGCCCUUUUGUUGGGAAAGAAAAGCAGCAGGUUAAUACCCCGCUGUUCUGACGGUACCCAAAGAAUAAGCACCGGCUAACUUCGU